GAUGAACGCUGGCGGCGUGCCUAAUACAUGCAAGUCGAGCGAACGGACGAGAAGCUUGCUUCUCUGAUGUUAGCGGCGGACGGGUGAGUAACACGUGGAUAACCUACCUAUAAGACUGGGAUAACUUCGGGAGACCGGAGCUAAUACCGGAUAAUAUUUUGAACCGCAUGGUUCAAAAGUGAAAGACGGUCUUGCUGUCACUUAUAGAUGGAUCCGCGCUGCAUUAGCUAGUUGGUAAGGUAACGGCUUACCAAGGCAACGAUGCAUAGCCGACCUGAGAGGGUGAUCGGCCACACUGGAACUGAGACACGGUCCAGACUCCUACGGGAGGCAGCAGUAGGGAACCUUCCGCAAUGGGCGAAAGCCUGACGGAGCAACGCCGCGUGAGUGAUGAAGGUCUUCGGAUCGUAAAACUCUGUUAUUAGGGAAGAACAUAUGUGUAAGUAACUGUGCACAUCUUGACGGUACCUAAUCAGAAAGCCACGGCUAACUACGUGCCAGCAGCCGCGGUAAUACGUAGGUGGCAAGCGUUAUCCGGAAUUAUUGGGCGUAAAGCGCGCGUAGGCGGUUUUUUAAGUCUGAUGUGAAAGCCCACGGCUCAACCGUGGAGGGUCAUUGGAAACUGGAAAACUUGAGUGCAGAAGAGGAAAGUGGAAUUCCAUGUGUAGCGGUGAAAUGCGCAGAGAUAUGGAGGAACACCAGUGGCGAAGGCGACUUUCUGGUCUGUAACUGACGCUGAUGUGCGAAAGCGUGGGGAUCAAACAGGAUUAGAUACCCUGGUAGUCCACGCCGUAAACGAUGAGUGCUAAGUGUUAGGGGGUUUCCGCCCCUUAGUGCUGCAGCUAACGCAUUAAGCACUCCGCCUGGGGAGUACGACCGCAAGGUUGAAACUCAAAGGAAUUGACGGGGACCCGCACAAGCGGUGGAGCAUGUGGUUUAAUUCGAAGCAACGCGAAGAACCUUACCAAAUCUUGACAUCCUUUGACAACUCUAGAGAUAGAGCCUUCCCCUUCGGGGGGGCAAAGUGACAGGUGGUGCAUGGUUGUCGUCAGCUCGUGUCGUGAGAUGUUGGGUUAAGUCCCGCAACGAGCGCAACCCUUAAGCUUAGUUGCCAUCAUUAAGUUGGGCACUCUAAGUUGACUGCCGGUGACAAACCGGAGGAAGGUGGGGAUGACGUCAAAUCAUCAUGCCCCUUAUGAUUUGGGCUACACACGUGCUACAAUGGACAAUACAAAGGGCAGCGAAACCGCGAGGUCAAGCAAAUCCCAUAAAGUUGUUCUCAGUUCGGAUUGUAGUCUGCAACUCGACUACAUGAAGCUGGAAUCGCUAGUAAUCGUAGAUCGGCAUGCUACGGUGAAUACGUUCCCGGGUCU
Molecule: ribosomal RNA, 1373 nt
Filed under: uncultured bacterium
Lineage: Bacteria
Description: bacterial SSU rRNA
Rfam family: Bacterial small subunit ribosomal RNA
Source: RNAcentral